Molecule: ribosomal RNA, 253 nt
Filed under: uncultured bacterium
Lineage: Bacteria
Description: partial 16S ribosomal RNA
Rfam family: Bacterial small subunit ribosomal RNA
Source: RNAcentral
UACGGAGGGUGCGAGCGUUGUCCGGAAUCACUGGGCGUAAAGGGCGCGUAGGCGGCAUGCCAAGCGUGUGGUGAAAGCCCGGGGCUCAACCCCGGGUCGGCCGUGCGGACUGGCGUGCUCGAGCACUGUAGGGGCGGGUGGAAUUCCGGGUGUAGCGGUGAAAUGCGCAGAUAUCAGGAAGAACACCCGUGGCGAAGGCGGCUUUCUGGGACGGUACUGACGCUGAGACGCGAAAGCGUGGGGAGCGAACAGG